This 348-nucleotide unclassified non-coding RNA is filed under the name soil metagenome. RNAcentral's name for it is "partial contains 5.8S ribosomal RNA, internal transcribed spacer 2, and large subunit ribosomal RNA". The stretch from base 1 to 120 matches the Rfam family "5.8S ribosomal RNA", at positions 35 to 154 of the family's 154-position model. The record is from RNAcentral.
GAUGAAGAACGUAGCGAAAUGCGAUAAGUAGUGUGAAUUGCAGAAUUCAGUGAAUCAUCGAAUCUUUGAACGCACAUUGCGCCCUCUGGUAUUCUGGAGGGCAUGCCUGUUCGAGCGUCAUUAAAACUACUCAAGCUAAGGUUUUACCUUCUGCUUGGUCUUGGGUUUGAGGAUUCAAAAUCCUCUCUCCGAAAUCCAGUGGCGAAUUGUUUGAGCUGUAGACGUAGUAAAUCAUUCUACCCGUUGCAAGCGAGAAUAAUAUUCAGCCAUAACCCCCAUACUUUUCUAGUUUGACCUCGGAUCAGGUAGGGAUACCCGCUGAACUUAAGCAUAUCAAUAAGCGGAGGA